RNAcentral lists this ribosomal RNA (301 nucleotides) under uncultured bacterium. RNAcentral's name for it is "partial 16S ribosomal RNA". It matches the Rfam family "Bacterial small subunit ribosomal RNA", at positions 509 to 807 of the family's 1533-position model. The record is from RNAcentral.
CAGCCGCCGCGGUAAUACGAAGGGUGCAAGCGUUAAUCGGAAUUACUGGGUGUAAAGCGUGCGUAGGCGGUGAGUUAAGUCUGCUGUGAAAUCCCCGGGCUCAACCUGGGAAUGGCAGUGGAUACUGGCUCGCUAGAGUGUGUCAGAGGAUGGUGGAAUUCCCGGUGUAGCGGUGAAAUGCGUAGAGAUCGGGAGGAACAUCUGUGGCGAAGGCGGCCAUCUGGGACAACACUGACGCUGAGGCACGAAAGCGUGGGGAGCAAACAGGAUUAGAUACCCGCGUAGUCCCUGUCUCUUAUAC